Non-coding RNA from Schistosoma curassoni, 48 nucleotides. Lineage: Eukaryota; Metazoa; Platyhelminthes; Trematoda; Strigeidida; Schistosomatidae. The record is from Rfam.
AUCCAACUGACGAGUUCCGAAUAGGACGACACACGCGUCAAUCUGUAU